Tritrichomonas foetus is the source of this 73-nucleotide transfer RNA. It matches the Rfam family "tRNA". Rfam says of the family: Transfer RNA (tRNA) molecules are approximately 80 nucleotides in length. Their secondary structure includes four short double-helical elements and three loops (D, anti-codon, and T loops). The record is from Rfam. NCBI's taxonomy places the organism in Eukaryota, Parabasalia, Tritrichomonadida, Tritrichomonadidae.
GCAUCUGUAGCAUAAUGGAUAAUGCGCUUCCCUUCUAAGGAAGAGACUCUGGGUUCGAGUCCCCGCAGAUGCG